UCCCAAAGUCCAUGGUCCUGG
RNAcentral lists this non-coding RNA (21 nucleotides) under Mus musculus (house mouse). The record is from RNAcentral. Lineage: Eukaryota; Metazoa; Chordata; Mammalia; Rodentia; Muridae.